AAUUGAAUCAGAUUAACCGCCAUUGUUGUUGAUUGCGAUGUCUCUUACUGGAAAAGGCUAUUCAGAUCCACAUCAAGAAAGCAGUAAUAAUUAUCAUAAUGCUUCAUCUAAUUGUUGCUCAGAAGCUUUAGCUCAAUUGAAGCUUUAUCAAGCUUUCAUCUUUUCAGUCCCUAUUUUGUUUGCUUUUAUACUUUUACUGUUAUUCUACUUAUUUUAUCUUCGUCGUCAGAGAGUCGAUUGGUCCUCACUGCGGAUGAGGACGUCUACAU
This 269-nucleotide unclassified non-coding RNA is filed under the name Hevea brasiliensis (rubber tree). Lineage: Eukaryota; Viridiplantae; Streptophyta; Magnoliopsida; Malpighiales; Euphorbiaceae. The record is from RNAcentral.